UAGAGUUUGAUCCUGGCUCAGAUUGAACGCUGGCGGCAUGCCUUACACAUGCAAGUCGGACGGCAGCGCGGGAGCAAUCCUGGCGGCGAGUGGCGAACGGGUGAGUAAUACAUCGGAACAUGUCCAGUAGUGGGGGAUAGCCCGGCGAAAGCCGGAUUAAUACCGCAUACGAUCUAUGGAUGAAAGCGGGGGAUCGCAAGACCUCGCGCUAUUGGGGUGGCCGAUGGCGGAUUAGCUAGUUGGUGGGGUAAAGGCCUACCAAGGCGACGAUCCGUAGCUGGUCUGAGAGGACGACCAGCCCACUGGGACUGAGACACGGCCCAGACUCCUACGGGAGGCAGCAGUGGGGAAUUUUGGACAAUGGGGGCAACCCUGAUCCAGCAAUGCCGCGUGUGUGAAGAAGGCCUUCGGGUUGUAAAGCACUUUUGUCCGGGAAGAAAUCCCCGCCCUAAUACGGCGGGGGGAUGACGGUACCGGAAGAAUAAGCCCGGCUAACUCGUGCCAGCAGCCGCGGUAA
This 517-nucleotide ribosomal RNA is filed under the name uncultured Burkholderia sp. Its description in RNAcentral is "bacterial SSU rRNA". It matches the Rfam family "Bacterial small subunit ribosomal RNA", at positions 1 to 523 of the family's 1533-position model. The record is from RNAcentral. Lineage: Bacteria; Pseudomonadati; Pseudomonadota; Betaproteobacteria; Burkholderiales; Burkholderiaceae.